RNAcentral lists this ribosomal RNA (583 nucleotides) under uncultured Lactarius. RNAcentral's name for it is "eukaryotic LSU rRNA". The stretch from base 195 to 348 matches the Rfam family "5.8S ribosomal RNA". The record is from RNAcentral. Lineage: Eukaryota; Fungi; Basidiomycota; Agaricomycetes; Russulales; Russulaceae.
CUAGGGCUGUCGCUGACAAAAAGUCGUGCACGCCAGAGUGUCCUCUCACAUUAAAUCCAUCUCACCCUUUUGUGCACCACCGCGUGGGCACCCUUCGGGAUCGAACUGGUCCAGGAGGGGGCUUGCGUUUUCACACAAACCCUCAUUUAAAAGUGUAGAAUGACCCCAUUUUUGCGAUAACACGCAAUCAAUACAACUUUCAACAACGGAUCUCUUGGCUCUCGCAUCGAUGAAGAACGCAGCGAAAUGCGAUACGUAAUGUGAAUUGCAGAAUUCAGUGAAUCAUCGAAUCUUUGAACGCACCUUGCGCCCCUUGGUAUUCCGAGGGGCACACCCGUUUGAGUGUCGUGAAUAUCUCAACCUUCUCGGUUUCUUCUGGAUGCCGAAGGAGGCUUGGACUUUGGAGGCCUCUGCUGGCAUCUUUUGAAGGCCAGCUCCUCUCAAAUGAAUUAGCGGGGUCCUCUUUGCCAACCCUCGACAUGUGAUAAGAUGUUUCCAUGUCUUGGUUUAUGGCUCUGUUGCUUUUGGGACCCGCUUCUAAUCGUCUCAAUGACAACGUUUGAGAGCGUCUCUCCUUCUCGGG